RNAcentral lists this ribosomal RNA (248 nucleotides) under uncultured bacterium. Its description in RNAcentral is "partial 16S ribosomal RNA". It matches the Rfam family "Bacterial small subunit ribosomal RNA", at positions 91 to 334 of the family's 1533-position model. The record is from RNAcentral.
CGGACCGGCGCACGGGUGAGUAACACGUAUGCAAUCCACCUGUAACAGGGGGGAUAACCCGGAGAAAUCCGGACUAAUACCCCAUAAUAUGGGCUCUCCGCAUGGAGGGUCCAUUAAAGAGAGCAAUUUUGGUUACAGACGAGCAUGCGCUCCAUUAGCCAGUUGGCGGGGUAACGGCCCACCAAAGCGACGAUGGAUAGGGGUUCUGAGAGGAAGGUCCCCCACAUUGGAACUGAGACACGGUCCAA